Molecule: ribosomal RNA, 215 nt
Filed under: uncultured eukaryote
Lineage: Eukaryota
Description: partial 18S ribosomal RNA
Source: RNAcentral
UCGUGGAGUGAUCUGUCUGCUUAAUUGCGUUUCACAAAGGACUGUGUUUACUUUUUGCCUGAUGCGCUGGUCUGCACUUGAUUGUGUGUGACCAUGUCGCACGGUAAGGUACCAAGUCCUGAAGGCAACGAACGUGACCGCAACCUCUUGUUGCCUCCUUUUGCCUCACGGCAACAUGAGUUACAGUCUUUGGGAGUCAAAUCCCUUGCUGUGCU